Molecule: ribosomal RNA, 397 nt
Filed under: uncultured bacterium
Lineage: Bacteria
Description: bacterial SSU rRNA
Rfam family: Bacterial small subunit ribosomal RNA
Source: RNAcentral
AUUUUGCGCAAUGGGCGAAAGCCUGACGCAGCAACGCCGCGUGAGUGACGAAGGCCUUCGGGUUGUAAAACUCUUUUAGUUGGGAAGAAGUAAAUGACGGUACCAACAGAAACAGCACCGGCUAACCCUGUGCCAGCAGCCGCGGUAAUACAGGGGGUGCAAGCGUUAUUCGGAAUUAUUGGGCGUAAAGAGCGCGUAGGAGGUUUAUUAAGUCUGGUGUGAAAGCCCUGGGCUCAAUCCAGGAAGUGCAUUGGAUACUGAUAGACUAGAGUACAGGAGAGGUAGGCGGAAUUCCAGGUGUAGAGGUGAAAUUCGUAGAUAUCUGGAGGAACAACAGUGGCGAAGGCGGCCUACUGGACUGUAACUGACGCUAAGGCGCGAAAGCGUGGGGAGCAAA